This is a long non-coding RNA of Haemorhous mexicanus (house finch), 5344 nucleotides long. RefSeq lists it as uncharacterized. Lineage: Eukaryota; Metazoa; Chordata; Aves; Passeriformes; Fringillidae. The record is from RefSeq and is a predicted model, not a curated record. The transcript has 2 exons.
CCAGAAAUAACUAGGAAAGUCCAAAAACACGUGUCUUUAAGAGUUGUCAGAGUCACAAACUGCAUAAUGCUGCAGAGGAAAAUAAUUACCAACAUGUAUAUGGAUGUUGUGGUUUAACCCCAGCCAACAACAAGUCCCACGCAGCUGCUCAAUCUUUCUCUCACAGUGGAAUGGGAAAGAGAAUUGGAUGGGUAAAAGUGAGAAAACUCAUGGGUUGAGAUAAAGACAGUUUACUAGGUAAAGCAAAAGUCUCACACACAAGCAAAGAAAACCAAGGAAUCCAUUUACCAGUUCCCAUGGACAGGCAGAUGUUCAGUCAUCCGUAGGAAAUCAAGGCUUCAGCACGUGUAUUUGGGAAGUACAAAUGCCAUCACUCAAAAUGUGCCCCCCUUUCUUGUUCUUCCCCCUGCUUUAAAUACUGAGGAUGGCACUGUAUAAUCUAGAAAAUCCCUUUGGUCAGUUGGGGUCAGUUGCUCCCGCUGUAUCCUUUCCCAACACCUUGUGCACCUCCAGCCUCCUCACAGAAGGUAUCUUGAGUAAGGGCUGCUCAGCAAUAACAAAACCAGCUCUGCUGUAUUAUCAACCCUGCUUCCAGCACAAAUCCAAAACACAGCCCCAUACCAGCCACUGCAAAGAAAAUUAAUUCUACCCCACCCAAACCCAGGACAGUGGUUGAGGGGGUAAUUGGCAAUUUGUUCUACUGAAUGUGUAAUAUACAGUAUAACUUUUCCUUUUCUACUCUUCUACCGUGUAGUAUAUUUAAUUUAUUUUUUUGUACAUAGAAAAUAGGCAAGUUCAUAUUAAAAACUGAGACAAAGACAAAACUUAUUGAGUUUUAAGGUACACAUUUUUGUGUCCUAACCAUCACCACUGUACAGAAGAAGAAAGGCCCAACUGAGAAAUUGAAGAACUACACAGAAAAUAUGAACUACUCCUCUUUCAAUGUUCCUUCCAAGUUAGCUUGUUCAUUCUUCCAGAUCUUAGGCAAUAUAAUCAGAGGAAUAAAGCAGUUUAAAGAGUUCAGUGUUUGAUCAUCUAUUUGAAAAAAGCUUAAACAUGUUUUCAGGCUGGUUGUAUCAACUUUUUGUUUAGGGUUGGUUUGUUUGUUUGUUUGGGUUUUUAAUAAGUUGUCUAUUACAGAUGGGCCCAGAUCCAAAUGACACCACUUCUGCUCCAUCCUGAAUUGUGUGUAUCAGGUUGCAGAUACCAAUCUGAAUGUCAUAAGCUAGAGCAGGGUGGAGUGGAGCUUGUCUUAAGAUAUGAUUCCCUCAUUCUUUCAACUUGGAAUUGUCAUGAUUUUGACAGGUACAAGCUAAUUAUUUUUUGCAUAGUCCUUAAAUAAACUGGAAACUGUAGACUGUCCUGUUAGAAGGAGCAACUGUCCUUUUAUGUCGCUGAAACUGUAAGAUGGCCUGUGGCUUUCUAAAUUUGAGUUUCUUUUGUUGCUGGUGUUAUUCACUGGGAAAGAAUGUGGCUCUGUUUCCAGUGAGAGAGGGUAUGAAAUGUUAAAAAAUAGAAGUGAUAGGUGGAUUUUAAAGGGACUAAAAAACCCCAAAGAGGUCAAAAUUUACAGGAAAGCAAAAGAAGGCCUUCCCCAUUCAGCAACAACCAGCUACCUGUUCAUUUCCUAGCUAAAGAAUUAGAUUCUAUCAUGUGACAGUUACAAAGAGGCACAUAAUAAACAAAGAAUUUUCUUUAAAAAUGGUCGUCUACACAGCUGUUUCUAAAUGCACAUCACUGACUUGCUGCUCCCUUCCCCCUCUCCUUGGCUUCAAGUUUCAGGAUAAGACAUCUGGCAUACAAGUUAUUCAAGUUCAGAAACUAGUUACUGAAAUCCACUUAAUAACUGCUAGUGGGUUUAGACCAUAACAAGUUCCCUAAUUUAUUUUUACAAGCAGUUGGAGUAAUCCACAGAUGUUUAUGACAGAUGUCAAGCACAAGGAUUGCUGUAACUAGCAGUUUUUGUGUAACAAAUGGUGAGGUAAACUGAUACUAAGCAGGAUACCUGCAAGAUAUUUAUAUAUUGUAGAAUUUUGAAGCCAUUGAGUUGUGGUAUCAGAAAAUUUUGUAAAAUAUUUAUGUCUCAAUAGGACAUGUAUUGUACAUAUCUGAACAUGAGAAUAAGGCCUCUAUGAAGCUAUUUUGGCAAAGAAAUAAAAUACAUUUUUAUAUUGUUUGAAUUUUCCAUUAAUUGAAGGUCAGUCACUGUGAAGAAAACAGGUCCUUAAAUCACAUGUGAUUGGCAAGCAAUUAACUUCUGGUAAAUGAAUUGCAUGGGCAAUGGAGUAUAGUCUGUCUUGACAGGUAAAAGCAUUUUUUCAUUAGAGUAACAUUAAUAAAUGAUUGGAACUUGCCUAAGAUUCAGCUUGUACUUAAUAUUAGAUAUACUUAGAAAUUCUGUCCGGCAACCAGGUCCAAUAUUUUAACAUUUAAAAUUUCUGAAUCAGAGCAAACAAGACAUCUCGAAAUUUCCAGUAGAAUGAAAGUACUAGUUUUUGUUUAGAAUCACUGAAGAAUUACUUUUUUCCCAGAAUUUAGUAAGGUAAAAGUGGACUGAUAAUUUAGUAAAUGGACUGAUAACUUGAUAUCACAAAACCUAUAAAAUACAAAAUACAUCAACUAAAUUUUACUUAUAGUAUUACAUAGUUGAAAGAAAAUAACAACAGAUAGGGGUUAUUUUCUCCUUUUUCAAAUUGACACUUUAAAUUGUUUGUUUCCAAGUGUUUAUUUCUGCAUCUCAGGAUGAUGUGUACAUUAAGUAAACUUGGGAAUUAAUAUAUUUGCAGAAAUGCAUCUCUUUUGCUUUGAGGAAAAUAUUUACUUUAGGAGAUAUAGAGUACCUUAAAGUGAUAAAAUACUAAUAUGAACAAGGUAUUUUGUGGUUAUUACAUGCUAUCUUGAUGAAGAUAAACAGGUAGGAGCAUAAGAUUAUUUUAACCAUCUAAUACAUAUAAUGAGAUAUUGUUCUAACUAAAUGAAACAAGCUUCUUUUCCUUUCUGCCUCUACCCUAAGUUUUCCUUAGUGAAGACAAAGUCCAACAUGGAAUUGUUUGGAUUCAGUUGCUAUCACUUAUGCUAGGGAUCUGGCUCUUAGUAAGAUAUCCCAGGAGAAGCUCAGCUGCCCAAGAACAUAAAAUGCUGAAGUGUCACUGCAAAUUCUUGAAUUAUAUUAGUUCCGUCUUAAUAUAGAAUAUUUUAACCCAGUUCAAAAUCAAUGACAUUUCUUCUGCAACUGUGCCUGUCCUCUUAACAACUGCCUGAAGGCAGAUACCUUGUGGAUUGGAAACCUGGAGAUUUUCUGUCCAGGGGCAGUUUUGUUCUUACAACUCUGGCUUUAUGAAUGAAUGGAGGCCAUUAAUGAUACUGUUCCGUGGAAGUGUCCUCUAUCUUAAUCAGCAGAAUAUAAUUGUUUUGUAAAAAAACAAUAAGUAAAUUUUCACAUCCUGGUCAAAUUCCGGUUUAGAUAACAGCACCCUGCUGACAAAGUUCCUGCAAUUUCAGAUGGAUAGUAACUGCCUAUUAACGUACUCUGUAUUAUUGCAUGGCAUACUUAAGCAGCUGUUGCAUUUUGUUUGAUGUAGAUGUAUCAACUGAAUCCUCCAUGGUUUUGUUGUUUUGGUUUUUUUAACAACACAUUUUGGGAAUGAUAGAAGUUGCAGAAGCAUCAAUGAUUAUUCAUUUCUUUCCUGUUAGGUCUAAUUCCUGCAGUGAUAUUCAUGAAAUCAGUUUUUAAAAAAAAAACCACAGAAAUGCAAUUUUACUACUAAUCUUGUUCUUAAGCCAUUUAAAUAUGCAGAUCUCUAAGAUAUUUGAUAUUAAACUUACCAUAGGAUAGGAUCAAUGCAGUUUUUAAAAAUAAAGUGGUAUUCAACAGAUAAAAACAUGACAGUUACAAUCAAAGUCAGCUUAUUACUUUUUAUCAUAUGCCAAGGUGGCAUAUUAAGGAUUGUUUGUUCUCCAUUUCUGCAGUUUAAACAGAUUAGGGUGGAUUUUUGGUAUCUAUUGAAUUUGACAUAUCAGAUUGAUAAAAACAGCAGAGCAGAGAACAUCCAAUACAGGAAUCAGAUUCACCACAAAUCAAAUCUGUAGUGUGAGUUUAUUCCAAAUUCAGAAGGUCCUUGUAGCAGUGAGGAUUCUCUCAGCUAUAUAAGCAUGACGUCAUUCUCUAUGCCUGCAGAGAAGAUACAAUUAAGUACAAUCCUUCAGUUCUUGGAUAAUAGCAUUUAUUGUCAUUAUCUCUCUGCACCUCCUUUCCUAAAAUCCAAGGAUCUUUAUAGUUCAUAUAUUCUGGAGAUGUUUAGCACAACAGGUAUAAUGAGAAAAUUUUAUUUCUGUUCUGCAAUAUAUCUGGAGUACCUCAUUAAAGUGCAGGUACUUUAAAUGAAGCCUAGUAAUAUGCUGCUUUAGCAUGCGUUUAAACAAGAAUUUGAAAAUUUGCAACUAUUAACCUUCAGUGGUAAUGUUAUAAACUCCUUGGAUAAUUUACUGAUGGCUAGGUGAACCAAAGUACUGAUUUGUUAAACGACUUCUUUAGUAUUCAUUAGUGGUAAUGCUGGAAUAGGUGUGACCUGUUUACUUAAAAAUGCAAUUCUAUUGAUAUCAGCAGAAUUUUUGCUAUUGUCUAGUGAGGCAAAAUCUGCCUAAAUGAUCUAGAUUUCUGCUGCUUCUAAAUACUGUUUUUACCUGUUUAAAUUAAUGCUGAAAUAGAACCCUGUUUAGAGGGAACUGAGGCAUUAUUUUAAUAUAGAUAUAAUAAAUCUGCACUGUUUGGAAUUAAAAAAUGAAUGUGUGAAAUAACUAACAUUACUGCAGUGAUACCUCCCUGUUUCUUCAGUUAACUGUGCAAUCGAUCCCUAUAUGGAACAGAAGAUCAAUAUCCUGCAAGUAUAGAAGCCAGAUAUGGAGUUUCUUCAUGGAGAUAAAACACCAGCAUUCACUAUGCAUUUGACUUAAAUCUGGAGAUGGGUGGAGAAGAGACAGGAAGAUCACAGUGGCACAUCUCCAGCAAAAGUCCUCCAGAGGCAUUGUGCCCUGACGGGAGGCAGCUGCCUGCAGAUGGCAGGGAGGUACCUCAAAACAAUGGGGCACACGAAUCCAUCUCCUGAGAACUGGAUGUUCAACAUGAAGUAGUGGAGACCCUGCCUAUUACCUUGCUGGGAUAGCCAUAAGACAGAGCCGACGAGGACGUGUAUGGCAAUGUAAUGAAGUCCUGCUCUCAGACACCAGUAAUGGGUAAACUUCAUAUGUAAUUUUCCAACUAUAUUUUAAAGCCCAUUUGGUGACAGUGAAAUUUCUCAAAUCAAUGACCUUCUAUAAAAACUACAAAAAAGUUCUCCCAGUAAAA